Molecule: transfer RNA, 69 nt
Rfam family: tRNA
About the family: Transfer RNA (tRNA) molecules are approximately 80 nucleotides in length.
CGAAAUAUAGCUUAACUAAAGCAUCUCGCUUACACCGAGAAAAUGUCUGUGAAAUCCAAACUAUUUCGA